GGAAGCGUGGCCGAGUGGUGUAAGGCGCUGGUUUCAGGCACCAGUCCUUCUUAGGGCGUUAGUUCGAAUCCAACCGCUGCCA
Non-coding RNA from Argiope bruennichi, 82 nucleotides. Lineage: Eukaryota; Metazoa; Arthropoda; Arachnida; Araneae; Araneidae. The record is from the annotation of a RefSeq genome assembly.